Vitis riparia (riverbank grape) is the source of this 390-nucleotide long non-coding RNA. RefSeq lists it as uncharacterized. The transcript has 2 exons. The record is from RefSeq and is a predicted model, not a curated record. Lineage: Eukaryota; Viridiplantae; Streptophyta; Magnoliopsida; Vitales; Vitaceae.
UGGGGGUGGUAUUCUCGUCUUCGUAUUAGCAUCAAUAGUUGAUUAAGAAAGCACAAGAGAUGGCUGCUGGCAAGGUAUUUCUCAUCAUUUGCCUCAUAUACAUUCUGCCUGAGGUGUUGGUUGUGUGUAAUUGCCAAAGGUUCACCGGAAUUUAUCCCAGUCCAGAGAACAAAGCGUACGGAUCAGUGUACCCAAGUCCUUCAAGACCUGGUCAUGGAUGCCUCCUCCAAGCCAGUAGUCGAUGCCGAGGGCCUCCGCCACAUCCCUGAUCAAUUUGGUUCAUUUGGUAUCCAUAUGAAGCACACUCCCUAAAUUUCUGUUCCGAUGUUACACAUGUUACACACACACACACACGUGUGUGUGUAUAUAUAUAUAUUAUGUUCAUCUCAA